Molecule: long non-coding RNA, 1090 nt
Filed under: Homo sapiens (human)
Lineage: Eukaryota; Metazoa; Chordata; Mammalia; Primates; Hominidae
Description: HSALNT0144534
Source: RNAcentral
CCUCUAGGCCACACCUUUUAUUCGUUUAUAUUUAUUUAUGGAUUCAUUGUUUUAGAGACAGGUUCUCACUCCGUUGUCCCGGCUGGAGGGCAGUAGUGUGAUCACAGAUCACCACAGCCUGGAACGCCUGGGCUCAAGUGACCCUCCCAUCUCAGCCUCCCAAGUUGCUGGGGCUAUGGGCUCGUGCCACUGUGUCGGCUAAUUUUUUUUAUUUUUAGUAGAGAGAGGGUCUCACUAUGUUGUCUGUGCUGGUCUCAAACUCCUGGGCUCAAGCAAUUCUCCUGCCUCGGCCUCCCAAAGUGCUGGGAUCCUGACAGCCGUGAACCACUGUGCUCGGCCUCUGCAUCUUUUAAGAAGAAAAUGGCUUGUCUCCCAAGACCUGAUUUCCUCCUUCCUCCAGCUGGAACUCAGAUGUGGAACAGAGGAAGUGGCUUCAACAGUGCAGCAUUGCUGGGGUCCACAUCCUGUGGUCUGGUCCACUUCUGACUUCAGCUGCAGCCUGCUGGACAGUUCACAGCACUCAGAUGCCCCUCAUGCUGCAGAGGUCAAUGGGUAUGGCUGGAUCCCUGUCUCUCCUACAAAGCCGAGAGCUUGCUCACUGGAGAACCAGCUCACAGAGACGUGCAGGAGAGGUCAUCAACUGGGGGUGCCCCAAAGCUGUGGGGUGGAGCCAGGGUGGUGCCCGAGUGUCCCACCUAUUGGGAGUUUUCCAUCCACUUCUCAGGUUCCAGCUGCACCGAGCCCUGCAGCAACCCCACGGAGGCCUCCCUAGAUUGGCCUUUCCUCCAUCACAGCCUCACUCUCCCUCUCCUGCUUCCUGCAAUCAACUUCCAAACAAAUAUGUAAAUCCAAGUCCUUGUCUCAAGCCUGCUUUUGAGAAAAUCAAAACUAAGUCAACACUUCUCAGGUUGUGAUUUUGUGUAUGGGGCUGACUUGUGAAAUAUUAAUUUCCUCUGAGUCCAGGAGCCCAUGGACUCGAUGGGCUCCACUCUAUGGCAGCUCCGUGUGUCCAAUUUGCCUGUCACCAUAUCCUGAAUGCAGUUCCUGACACAUAAUAAGUGUUCAAUAAAUACAUGUGAAAUAAAUGAAC